GAUUGCACGCUGGCGGCAUGCUUUACCCAUGCAAGUCGAACGGUAACAGGCCUUCGGGUGCUGACGAGUGGCGAACGGGUGAGUAAUGCAUCGGAACGUGCCCAGAGGUGGGGGAUAACGCAGCGAAAGCUGUGCUAAUACCGCAUGUGAUCUGAGGAUGAAAGCGGGGGACCAGGCAGCAAUGUUUGGCCUCGCGCCUUUGGAGCGGCCGAUGUCAGAUUAGGUAGUUGGUGGGGUAAAGGCCUACCAAGCCGACGAUCUGUAGCUGGUCUGAGAGGACGACCGGCCACACUGGGACUGAGACACGGCCCAGACUCCUACGGGAGGCAGCAGUGGGGAAUUUUGGACAGUGGGCGCAAGCCUGAUCCAGCAAUGCCGCGUGCGGGAAGAAGGCCUUCGGGUUGUAAACCGCUUUUGUACGGAACGAAAAGGCUCUGGCUAAUACCUGGGGCUGAUGACGGUACCGUAAGAAUAAGCACCGGCUAACUACGUG
Molecule: ribosomal RNA, 493 nt
Filed under: uncultured bacterium
Lineage: Bacteria
Description: partial 16S ribosomal RNA
Rfam family: Bacterial small subunit ribosomal RNA
Source: RNAcentral